GCCAGGGCCAGAACAGCCGUAUAGAUGGAGCUGCUGUCUGAUUUACUGCAUCCAGUGAAGACGAUUCUCACAGGUUAGAGCUGCGUCCCACCCAGGUCGGUGAUGGGAGGACAAACUGUAGCUCUGAGAGGUGGCUGGAGAUCUCAUCGGUUACUGUGCUCCUGGCUUUUCUCUGCAAGCUUGUAGUCGAAGUGGAAAGAUUCAAGCCUUCUUUUAUUCAGGCAAUAGUAACACUAUAGAAAAAGAGAGAAGAGGCCCUCUGCAUCUGUAUGUGUAUCUGGAGCUGUAUCGUGGAAGUGAAAGGGAUUAUUUCUGCACAGUUAUUUAACUACACUUUUCCUGGUGCCAAUGUUGAGAAGAAGUGAAGCUGAGUGAGUAUGUUAAAUGAGACUAUCAAGAAGUUACAGAGUCACAUUCAAUGAAUCUGCAGACAGAAACUGUACUAUCUGAGAAAUACUCUUUGUCCUAUAAAGGAAAAAGUGCCAGAAAUAUCCUGAUUGCAGGAAUGAUACAUGUAACGCGUAGAAACUCUCAUCACUUGAAGAGUCCAUUAUGGAAUUAUAUCUUUACAUCUUUAACUCAUGUGCAAAACUAAUAUGAAGAAUGUUCGUGCUGCAGUUGGUUGAGAAGAACAAUGCAAUAGUCAAGGAACAAGUGUGUGAACCAGGCUUGGAACAAGCAAAGAGUUUUAUAAAUGACGGAUGUGGAAGGUACCCUGGAAGUGUGCAACUGCAGAAAAAAACUGAGUAUGAAUGCUUCUGAGCAGAAAGUGAUGAUGGCAUGUGAGUGAGUCUGAUCUUACAGAAUAUGGGUUAUGUUGUCAGUGCAAAAUAUACACAGAUGGAAUAAGAUGAAUUAAGUAAAUAAAUGGGAAGAGAACUGGAGAUGUUAAUAUAUUAAAAAAAAAAAAAAAAAAGUUGAUCUGGAUGUACUCAGCCUUCAUUGAAAAGAUAGGUGGCAAGAAACAUGCUGGUACCUCUAUCCUCUCCCACUUUAAGUCUUUGGUAUCCAGAAGAUGUGCCACAGUGAGCAGAAUAAGUAUAAACAUUGGGAUUUUGUAAGCCUUUAUUUUCAAAAGCAGUUAAGUAUGCAACUAUGUGAUACAGUUUAGGAACUUCAAAUUACUUUAAAAUUGUUUGCAUUGUUAUUUUUAUUCUUUUAUUUCCUAUCUUGAGAUUCACACUAGUUACUGUAUUGUUCUAAAAUAAUUGUUACAAUUAAUUUUUUUCUGAUUAGGAAAAUUGGAUUUUUCAU
Long non-coding RNA from Lagopus leucura (white-tailed ptarmigan), 1254 nucleotides. RefSeq lists it as uncharacterized. Lineage: Eukaryota; Metazoa; Chordata; Aves; Galliformes; Phasianidae. The transcript has 7 exons. The record is from RefSeq and is a predicted model, not a curated record.